Ochotona princeps (American pika) is the source of this 107-nucleotide ribosomal RNA. NCBI's taxonomy places the organism in Eukaryota, Metazoa, Chordata, Mammalia, Lagomorpha, Ochotonidae. The record is from Ensembl.
GGCCACACCACUCCGAAUGUGUCUAGUCUUGUCUGAUCUUGGAAGCUAAGCAGGGUUGCAACUGGUUAGUACCUGAAUGGGAAACAUGGACACAGCCAGGCUGGGCA